GAGUUUCUGAUCUAUCAUGCUGUCGACGGUUGGUGCUAUGCCAACCGUGGCGUUAACGGAUAACAGAGAAUCUGGGUUCGAUUCUGGAGAGGCCGCAUGAGAAACGGCGACCACUUCUAAGGAAGGCAGCAGGCACGCAAAUUACCCACUUCGGACACCGAGAGGUAGUGACGAACAAUACCGAUGCGGCGCACUUACGUGUCGCCGUAAUCGGAAUGAGUACACUUCAAAUCCUUUAACGAGGAUCCACUGGAGGGCAAGCCUGGUGCCAGCAGCCGCGGUAAUUCCAGCUCCAGCAGCGUAUAUUUAUAUUGCUGCGUUUAAAAAGCUCGUAGUUGAAGCGUCAGACGCGGGAGGGCGGACGGCCGCACUGGUCGCUCUCGCCCGACCGAGCCAGGCGCAGAGGGCGCGCGCCGCUUGCACUUCACCGUGUGAGCGCGCCGCCGCUGCACGUUCACCUUGAAGAAAUUGAACCGCUUAGAGGGGGCGAGCAGCUUGAACAGCUCAGCAUGGUAUGAUGGAACAUGGGCUCGUACUCAUUUUGUUGGUUAGAGAGUCGGCGAGCCAAUGAUUAACAGGGACUGCCGGGGGCAUUAGUACUCGGACGGGAGAGGUGAAAUUCAAGGAUCGUCCGAAGACUCCCUACUGCGAAAGCAUUUGCCAAGAAUGUUUUCAUUAAUCAAGAACGAAAGUCAGAGGUGCGAAGGCGAUCAGAUACCGCCGUAGUUCUGACCGUAAACGUUGCCAACUGGCAAUUGGGCGCACUUCUGUCGAAGUUGCCGCCAGCAGUAUUGCCCGGGAAACCAAAGUCAUUGGGUUCCGGGGGGAGUAUGGUUGCAAAGCUGAAACUUAAAGGAAUUGACGGAAGGGCACCACCAGGAGUGGAGCCUGCGGCUUAAUUUGACUCAACACGGGAAACCUCACCCGGCCCGAACACUGUUAUGACAGACAGGUUGAGAGCUCUUUCUCGAUUCAGUGGUUGGUGGUGCAUGGCCGUUCUUAGUUCGUGGAGCGAUCUGUCUGGUUAAUUCCGAUAACGAACGAGAUUCUUGCCUGCUAAAUAGACGGCGUCGAGCAAGUGCGACGACCGUUCGCUUCUUAGAGGGACAAGCGGCUUUUAGCCGCGUGAAGCUGAGAGCAAUAACAGGUCAGUGAUGCCCUCAGAU
This 1166-nucleotide ribosomal RNA is filed under the name Dendrobeania murrayana. Its description in RNAcentral is "SSU rRNA". It matches the Rfam family "Eukaryotic small subunit ribosomal RNA", at positions 301 to 1478 of the family's 1831-position model. Lineage: Eukaryota; Metazoa; Bryozoa; Gymnolaemata; Cheilostomatida; Bugulidae. The record is from RNAcentral.